AGGGCGCAAGGGGAAUGCCUUGGCACUGAGAGCCGACGAAGGACGCGACAAGCUGCGAUAAGCUACGGGGAGCCGCAAAUGGGCUUUGAUCCGUAGAUUUCCGAAUGGGGAAACCCGGCAGAGCAAUACUCUGUCAACGUACACUGAAUACAUAGGUGUACGUGGGGAACCGCCUGAACUGAAACAUCUAAGUAGGGCGAGGAAGAGAAAUCAACCGAGAUUCCGCUAGUAGUGGCGAGCGAACGCGGAAGAGGCCAAACCGGAGGUAGCAAUAUUUCCGGGGUUAGGACUGCAAUAUGUAACUUUAAUCUUUAACUGAAUGCUUUGGGAAGAGCAGCGAUACAGGGUGACAGCCCCGUAAGUGAAAAGGAUUGAGUGCUAGCAGUAUCCAGAGUACCAGCGGACACGUGAAACCCGCUGGGAAGAUGGGGGGACCAUCCUCCAAGCCUAAAUACUACUCAGUGACCGAUAGUGGAGCAGUACCGUGAGGGAAAGGUGAAAAGUACCCCGGGAGGGGAGUGAAAGAGAACCUGAAACCUUGUGCCUACAAGCACCGAGAGCACGUUAAAGUGUGAUCGGGUACUUUUUGUAGAACGGUCCGGCGAGUUAAUAUUUGCAGCGAGGUUAAGUAACUGGAGUUACGGAGCCGUAGCGAGAGCGAGUCUGAAUAGGGCGUAUGAAGUUGCAGGUAUUAGACCCGAAACCGGGUGACCUAUCCAUGAGCAGGCUGAAGCGGUGGUAAGACACCGUGGAGGGCCGCACCCACGUCUGUUGAAAAAGCCGGGGAUGACUUGUGGAUAGCGGAGAAAUUCCAAUCGAACUCGGAGAUAGCUGGUUCUCCCCGAAAUAGCUUUAGGGCUAGCGUUAUUUUAGAUUACCGGAGGUAAAGCACUGAAUGGUCUAGGGGCCGCGAGGUUACCAAAGCCUAUCAAACUCUGAAUGCCGGAUAAUUGAUGAAUAGCAGUCAGACUGUGUGAGAUAAGUCUCAUAGUCAAAAGGGAAACAGCCCAGAUCUACAGCUAAGGUCCCAAAUGAACACUAAGUGGAAAAUGAUGUGAAACUGCGAAGACAACCAGGAUGUUGGCUUAGAAGCAGCCACUCAUUCAAAGAGUGCGUAAUAGCUCACUGGUCGAGUGGUUUUGCGCAGAAAAUGUAACGGGGCUAAGUGUUCAACCGAAGCUUAGGCAUUGCAGUAAUGCAUUGGGUAGGGGAGCGUCGUAUGCGGGGCGAAGUCAGAGCGGAAGCACUGGUGGACUGCAUACGAGUGAGAAUGCCGGAAUAAGUAGCGAGAAUUAUGUGAGAAUCAUAAUGGCCGAAAAUCUAAGGUUUCCUGGGGAAGGUUCGUCCGCCCAGGGUUAGUCGGGAGCUAAGCUCAGGCCGAAAGGCGUAGGCGAUGCACAUACGGUAGAAAUUCCGUAACCACCGAACUUUAAGCUAGAGGGACGCUUUCUUUAAGGUUAUCCCGGGCGAUGGUUGCCCCGGGCGUAAGGGACCGAAAUUUAGUAGGGAAGUAACUGGCGAGAGAGACGAGAAAAGCUCUAGUGUAUACUAAGGUGCCCGUACCGCAAACCGACACAGGUAGAAGGGAUGAGUAUUCUAAGGCCAACGGGAGAAGGGUUGUUAAGGAACUCGGCAAAUUGGCCCCGUAACUUCGGGAUAAGGGGCGCCUGCGAGAGCAGGCCGCAGUGAAAAGGCCCAAGCGACUGUUUAGCAAAAACACAGCUCUCUGCUAAAUCGAAAGAUGACGUAUAGGGGGUGACGCCUGCCCGGUGCUGGAAGGUUAAGGGGAGUGCUUAGCGCAAGCGAAGGUGCGAACUUAAGCCCCAGUAAACGGCGGCCGUAACUAUAACGGUCCUAAGGUAGCGAAAUUCCUUGUCAGGUAAGUUCUGACCCGCACGAAUGGCGUAACGAUUUGGGCACUGUCUCAACAGCCCGCCCGGCGAAAUUGUAGUACCGGUGAAGAUGCCGGUUUCCCGCAACUAGACGGAAAGACCCCAUGGAGCUUCACUGCUGUCUCUUAUACACAUCUGACGCUGCCGACGAAGAGGAUAGUGUAGAUCUAGGUGGUCGCCGUAUGACUAAAAAAAAAAAAAGAAAAAAGCAAAAAAAAAAAGACAAGACAUAAUAA
RNAcentral lists this ribosomal RNA (2128 nucleotides) under metagenome. RNAcentral describes it as "bacterial LSU rRNA". It matches the Rfam family "Bacterial large subunit ribosomal RNA", at positions 14 to 2195 of the family's 2925-position model. The record is from RNAcentral.